Molecule: unclassified non-coding RNA, 307 nt
Filed under: plant metagenome
Description: partial contains 5.8S ribosomal RNA, internal transcribed spacer 2, and large subunit ribosomal RNA
Rfam family: 5.8S ribosomal RNA (bases 1-106)
Source: RNAcentral
CGAAAUGCGAUAAGUAAUGUGAAUUGCAGAAUUCAGUGAAUCAUCGAAUCUUUGAACGCACAUUGCGCCCGCCAGUAUUCUGGCGGGCAUGCCUGUCCGAGCGUCAUUUCAACCAUCAAGCCCCCGGGCUUGUGUUGGGGACCUGCGGCUGCCCGCAGGCCCUGAAAACCAGUGGCGGGCUCACUGUCACACCGAGCGUAGUAGCAAUCACCUCGCUCAGGGCGUGCUGCGGGUUCCGGCCGUUAAACAGCCUUACAAAACCCAAGGUUGACCUCGGAUCAGGUAGGAAGACCCGCUGAACUUAAGC